RNAcentral lists this ribosomal RNA (254 nucleotides) under Salmonella enterica subsp. enterica serovar Infantis. RNAcentral describes it as "partial 23S ribosomal RNA". It matches the Rfam family "Bacterial large subunit ribosomal RNA", at positions 1547 to 1782 of the family's 2925-position model. RNAcentral also lists the same sequence under 8 other names. Lineage: Bacteria; Pseudomonadati; Pseudomonadota; Gammaproteobacteria; Enterobacterales; Enterobacteriaceae. The record is from RNAcentral.
ACUUUAACACUGAGGCGUGAUGACGAGGCACUACGGUGCUGAAGCAACAAAUGCCCUGCUUCCAGGAAAAGCCUCUAAGCAUCAGGUAACAUCAAAUCGUACCCCAAACCGACACAGGUGGUCAGGUAGAGAAUACCAAGGCGCUUGAGAGAACUCGGGUGAAGGAACUAGGCAAAAUGGUGCCGUAACUUCGGGAGAAGGCACGCUGACACGUAGGUGAAGUGAUUUACUCACGGAGCUGAAGUCAGUCGAAG